GAUGAACGCUGGCGGCGUGCCUAAUACAUGCAAGUCGAGCGAACAGAUGAGGAGCUUGCUCCUCUGACGUUAGCGGCGGACGGGUGAGUAACACGUGGAUAACCUACCUAUAAGACUGGGAUAACUUCGGGAAACCGGAGCUAAUACCGGAUAAUAUAUUGAACCGCAUGGUUCAAUAGUGAAAGACGGUUUUGCUGUCACUUAUAGAUGGAUCCGCGCCGCAUUAGCUAGUUGGUAAGGUAACGGCUUACCAAGGCGACGAUGCGUAGCCGACCUGAGAGGGGGAAUCGGCCCCCUGGAAACGGAAAACCGUCCCGACUCCCAACGGAAGCAGGAGUUGGGGAUUCUGCGCCAAUGGGCGAAGCCUGACCGAACCACGGCGGCGGAGUUGAGAAAGGCCUUCGAUUCUUAAAACCUUGUUAUUGGGAAGAACAAAUGUGUAAGUAACUAUGCACGUCUUGACGGUACCUAAUCAGAAAGCCACGGCUAACUACGUG
Molecule: ribosomal RNA, 497 nt
Filed under: uncultured bacterium
Lineage: Bacteria
Description: partial 16S ribosomal RNA
Rfam family: Bacterial small subunit ribosomal RNA
Source: RNAcentral